Long non-coding RNA from Zingiber officinale, 524 nucleotides. RefSeq lists it as uncharacterized. The transcript has 2 exons. The record is from RefSeq and is a predicted model, not a curated record. NCBI's taxonomy places the organism in Eukaryota, Viridiplantae, Streptophyta, Magnoliopsida, Zingiberales, Zingiberaceae.
GGAGAACUUAAGUUUUACCGUGACCUAAAAAAAAAAAAACCUUUCGAUUUCUCUCCUCUUCUCACGCGACGACGACUUUUGCGUGGGCGAAACCGAAGCCGGCAUUAGGGCUCCACUCCGGCAGCCGACGAGUGCCUUCCUCCGCGGGUUCUUCACAGAUCCGAGCCCCUCUCAGCACGGUGACCGCGCGGGCACAAGAAGAGGCCGGAAGCUUGCAAGCACCUGGAACCCUAGCAGCCUCUCCCUCUCGGCAGUAAGUCCAAGAAAGCAUGAUACAGGAAAGGAAAAAGUUUUAGCAAAGGAAGGCGACAAGGAGGUGUUCGAGGAUGUGUGAUGCCAGGACUAUGGAAGCCCUGAGACUUAGUUAAGAAUUUGUUUGGAUUAAUCCUUUAUUUAGGGUGAUAAGAAAAUUUGAAAGUAAGAAGUUGUAAUUCAUUAUUAAGUUUCCGCAUUUUAGUAUUUGGGAUGAUAUAUGUUAUUUUGAUGUUGUUAGGACAUAGUAGAUGAAUUAUAAUCUUGUGUGA